Molecule: long non-coding RNA, 637 nt
Filed under: Nicotiana benthamiana
Lineage: Eukaryota; Viridiplantae; Streptophyta; Magnoliopsida; Solanales; Solanaceae
Description: long non-coding RNA (NBEN_LNC042012)
Source: RNAcentral
CUUAACUAAAGAAAGACUUUAUAUGAUUGAUUGCAAAUUAUUUUCUUACCAUUUCCUACUUGUCCUUUGCACAAUAAAAGGGGAACGACCCUUCUGCACUUAGAACAACUGGGAACUUUCAAUUCAAUACACAUAUUCAUAUACACACUCUCAAUCACAAUACUCUUCAAUUCUCUACUUUCAUCUAAGAUCUCUUAUACUGCUCGCUUGCAAUUUGGGUCUACAAGACUUCUGCUUUACUUGUUUGUUUCCCCUGCAACUGGUAUGUUCUGAUUUAGCUUCAACCAUCAUCCAAAUAUGUUUAUUUACAACUUCUGCAAUCUUGUUUGCUUUACCAUUCAUGCUCAGUGAUUAACGUGUAUGUUAUUCUCUUUGUACCUAUUUCUAUGAUGAAUUCCUACAUCCUUAUUCCCCUCUAUAUGUUUGAAUUAGGGUUCGAGGCCUGGCAGUAUCCAAAUUACUGCUCAGGUCUGAACCUAACCCUCAAUGUGUCCUAGCUCCCAAACUGAGCUAACAGGCGAGUCAAGGGUGUGCCGGCAUGCCUGAUUGUUGGGCAUGACUAAUAGCCUGUCAUGGCCUUCCCUAACUCCCUCUAUCUACUUACACUUAUUAUAAGACUCUAAUUCCCCCCCCCCCC